Molecule: transfer RNA, 74 nt
Filed under: Mycobacterium dioxanotrophicus
Lineage: Bacteria; Bacillati; Actinomycetota; Actinomycetes; Mycobacteriales; Mycobacteriaceae
Description: Mycobacterium sp. PH-06 tRNA
Rfam family: tRNA
About the family: Transfer RNA (tRNA) molecules are approximately 80 nucleotides in length.
Source: Rfam by way of RNAcentral
GCGGAUGUAGCUCAGCUGGCAGAGCGCCACCCUUCCAAGGUGGAUGUCGCGGGGUUCGAUGCCCGUCGUCCGCU